This 401-nucleotide ribosomal RNA is filed under the name uncultured bacterium. RNAcentral describes it as "partial 16S ribosomal RNA". It matches the Rfam family "Bacterial small subunit ribosomal RNA", at positions 355 to 749 of the family's 1533-position model. The record is from RNAcentral.
UGGGGAAUAUUGCACAAUGGGCGCAAGCCUGAUGCAGCCAUGCCGCGUGUGUGAAGAAGGCCUCGGGUUGUAAAGCACUUUCAGCGAGGAGGAAGGUGGUGAACUUAAUACGUUCAUCAAUUGACGUUACUCGCAGAAGAAGCACCGGCUAACUCCGUGCCAGCAGCCGCGGUAAUACGGAGGGUGCAAGCGUUAAUCGGAAUUACUGGGCGUAAAGCGCACGCAGGCGGUUUGUUAAGUCAGAUGUGAAAUCCCCGGGCUCAACCUGGGAACUGCAUUUGAAACUGGCAAGCUAGAGUCUCGUAGAGGGGGGUAGAAUUCCAGGUGUAGCGGUGAAAUGCGUAGAGAUCUGGAGGAAUACCGGUGGCGAAGGCGGCCCCCUGGACGAAGACUGACGCUCA